Molecule: transfer RNA, 74 nt
Filed under: bacterium
Lineage: Bacteria
Also listed under: 8 other names
Description: tRNA-Gly
Rfam family: tRNA
About the family: Transfer RNA (tRNA) molecules are approximately 80 nucleotides in length. Their secondary structure includes four short double-helical elements and three loops (D, anti-codon, and T loops).
Source: RNAcentral
GCGGCUGUAGCUCAGCUGGCUAGAGCGUCUGCUUGCCAUGCAGAAGGUCGUGGGUUCGAAUCCCAUCAGCCGCU